RNAcentral lists this long non-coding RNA (1210 nucleotides) under Pan paniscus (pygmy chimpanzee). RNAcentral's name for it is "lncRNA (ENSPPAG00000045297.1)". Lineage: Eukaryota; Metazoa; Chordata; Mammalia; Primates; Hominidae. The record is from RNAcentral.
GAAACCUUCAAUUAUUUGCUCCCUCUGGGGUACCGUGCAUCAUUCUUCUGAGGGUAUUUUUAGCCUACAACAAAGUUGUCUUUAUUCUGCAGUUCCUUAAUCCCUUUUUCUUCUGAUACUCUGGGAAACAAAACAGUAGCUGUUCUCAGAGGAAUGCCUGGAGAAUUACAUUAAUUCAGAAAACAAGAGAUUCACCAUGUAGUUCUGUGAUCUAAAUGGAAUGAGAAGGUCACACUGUACCUAUUCUUAAAUUGCAUCGUUUGCUUCUCCCAUUGUUACUUGCAUUUUAUGCAGACUCUUACUUGUGCCAGUUAGCUACAAAUUUGGGACUGUAGUCAGUCCACUGCUCCUCCAGAUAGGCAAAAUCUACUGCAUUAGCUCUAAUAGAGUCCUUUGCAAGCUUGACCUAACCUGGUCAGGAUCUGUUCUGAUUGAAUUGUAAAGCCUGUUAUGUCUCUUGCUGUACAUUUCUCUUGCUGCUAAAGUCUUCAUGUUUAGUCGGAUAUACUAAUUCUUCCACGAUCCUGGCCGUCUCAGCCCUACCAUCGGUCUACCCUUUGAGGUGUUUGGGAUUUAACAAAAAUGAACUACUUCUCUUGCCCAUGGAUUACCGGCAUGACAACAAGGCUCAUUAUUUUCAGAAGCUUGUGACUAUGUGGGAGAAUUUAUAUGUACUUCUGUGUGAUGAAGAAUUGGAUGCAGUCUCUUUGGAAGCUGUGCACCAACAAAAGAUGAAGAAUAGACAAGCCCACUCUUCAUCAGAGAGAGAACUAAAAUAAUGAAGACCAGAACUAUACAAGUUAUCAAGACGUACUAAUUCCUUAGUUGAUAAAGAACCUGCAUGAGACAGUGAUACAUCAGAGAGAGAAAAACUUUAAGCACUGAGAGGGGACAAACUGAUGGAUUCCAUGGCAAAGUUUCCUGACACAAUUCACCUCCAGAAACGUUAAUGUUACUUAGUAGAAAAAAAUAAAAAUCUCCAUGUUUAAAAAUAAAGAUUCAACUUAAACGACCCUAUAAUCAUGAAGAAAAUUGUCUUUAAAAUGGAAGUGUAUUAACCUCUGUGAGGUCCAGAGAAUACCUGGGGCCCAUAUAACAUAAGUCAGAAUUUUUUAACAUUAUAAACCAAGAUUAGUUAUUAAAAAUAUGUUUUAUCUUUUUACCCUGACAAAUAUGUCAGUAGAAGUCUUGAAACUGAGCACAAGUGUAG